Molecule: ribosomal RNA, 202 nt
Filed under: Staphylococcus chromogenes
Lineage: Bacteria; Bacillati; Bacillota; Bacilli; Caryophanales; Staphylococcaceae
Description: partial 16S ribosomal RNA
Rfam family: Bacterial small subunit ribosomal RNA
Source: RNAcentral
GGGCAGGACGAGGAGCUUGCUCCUUUGACGUUAGCGGCGGACGGGUGAGUAACACGUGGGUAACCUCUAUAAGACUGGAAUAACUCCGGGAAACCGGGGCUAAGGCCGGACAACAUAUCGAACCGCAUGGUUCGAUAGUGAAAGACGGUCUUGCUGUCACUUAUAGAUGGACCCGCGCCGUAUUAGCUAGUUGGUGAGGUAA